GCCGAGGUGGGGUAACGGCUAUCCUGUAGGACUGUGGAUCCUUCGAUCCGGGUUCAAUUCCCGGCCUUGGCC
This 72-nucleotide transfer RNA is filed under the name Candidatus Methanoliparum thermophilum. RNAcentral describes it as "tRNA-His". It matches the Rfam family "tRNA". Rfam says of the family: Transfer RNA (tRNA) molecules are approximately 80 nucleotides in length. The record is from RNAcentral. Lineage: Archaea; Methanobacteriati; Methanobacteriota; Candidatus Methanoliparia; Candidatus Methanoliparales; Candidatus Methanoliparaceae.